RNAcentral lists this ribosomal RNA (47 nucleotides) under Lodderomyces parapsilosis. Its description in RNAcentral is "Candida parapsilosis partial 18S ribosomal RNA". It matches the Rfam family "Eukaryotic small subunit ribosomal RNA", at positions 1785 to 1831 of the family's 1831-position model. Lineage: Eukaryota; Fungi; Ascomycota; Pichiomycetes; Serinales; Debaryomycetaceae. The record is from RNAcentral.
AAAGUCGUAACAAGGUUUCCGUAGGUGAACCUGCGGAAGGAUCANNA